AGAGUUUGAUCCUGGCUCAGGACGAACGCUGGCGGCGUGCCUAACACAUGCAAGUCGAACGAGCGAGAGAGAGCUUGCUUUCUCAAGCGAGUGGCGAACGGGUGAGUAACGCGUGAGGAACCUGCCUCAAAGAGGGGGACAACAGUUGGAAACGACUGCUAAUACCGCAUAAGCCCACGACCCGGCAUCGGGAAGAGGGAAAAGGAGCAAUCCGCUUUGAGAUGGCCUCGCGUCCGAUUAGCUAGUUGGUGAGGUAACGGCCCACCAAGGCGACGAUCGGUAGCCGGACUGAGAGGUUGAACGGCCACAUUGGGACUGAGACACGGCCCAGACUCCUACGGGAGGCAGCAGUGGGGAAUAUUGCACAAUGGGGGAAACCCUGAUGCAGCGACGCCGCGUGGAGGAAGAAGGUCUUCGGAUUGUAAACUCCUGUUGUUGAGGAAGAUAAUGACGGUACUCAACAAGGAAGUGACGGCUAACUACGUGCCAGCAGCCGCGGUAAAACGUAGGUCACAAGCGUUGUCCGGAAUUACUGGGUGUAAAGGGAGCGCAGGCGGGAAGACAAGUUGGAAGUGAAAUCCAUGGGCUCAACCCAUGAACUGCUUUCAAAACUGUUUUUCUUGAGUAGUGCAGAGGUAGGCGGAAUUCCCGGUGUAGCGGUGGAAUGCGUAGAUAUCGGGAGGAACACCAGUGGCGAAGGCGGCCUACUGGGCACCAACUGACGCUGAGGCUCGAAAAGUGUGGGUAGCAAACAGGAUUAGAUACCCUGGUAGUCCACACCGUAAACGAUGAUUACUAGGUGUUGGAGGAUUGACCCCUUCAGUGCCGCAGUUAACACAAUAAGUAAUCCACCUGGGGAGUACGACCGCAAGGUUGAAACUCAAAGGAAUUGACGGGGGCCCGCACAAGCAGUGGAGUAUGUGGUUUAAUUCGAAGCAACGCGAAGAACCUUACCAAAUCUUGACAUCCCUCUGACCGGUCUUUAAUCGGACCUUCUCUUCGGAGCAGAGGUGACAGGUGGUGCAUGGUUGUCGUCAGCUCGUGUCGUGAGAUGUUGGGUUAAGUCCCGCAACGAGCGCAACCCCUAUCCUCAGUAGCCAGCAUUUAAGGUGGGCACUCUGGGGAGACUGCCAGGGAUAACCUGGAGGAAGGUGGGGAUGACGUCAAAUCAUCAUGCCCUUUAUGACUUGGGCUACACACGUACUACAAUGGCGUUAAACAAAGAGAAGCAAGACCGCGAGGUGGAGCAAAACUCAGAAACAACGUCCCAGUUCGGACUGCAGGCUGCAACUCGCCUGCACGAAGUCGGAAUUGCUAGUAAUCGUGGAUCAGCAUGCCACGGUGAAUACGUUCCCGGGCCUUGCACUCACCGCCCGUCA
This 1379-nucleotide ribosomal RNA is filed under the name uncultured bacterium. RNAcentral describes it as "bacterial SSU rRNA". It matches the Rfam family "Bacterial small subunit ribosomal RNA". The record is from RNAcentral.